This 611-nucleotide ribosomal RNA is filed under the name fungal endophyte. RNAcentral's name for it is "eukaryotic LSU rRNA". The stretch from base 180 to 333 matches the Rfam family "5.8S ribosomal RNA". Lineage: Eukaryota; Fungi. The record is from RNAcentral.
UUAAAGAGUUCUAUAACUCCCAAACCCAUGUGAACAUACCUAACGUUGCCUCGGCAGGUCGCACCUACCUUGUAGCACCCUACCCUGUAGGGCCUACCCGGGAGGUGCGGGUAAGCCUGCCGGCGGCCCACCAAACUCUGUUUGAUAUUGAAUUCUGAACCUAUAACUAAAUAAGUUAAAACUUUCAACAACGGAUCUCUUGGUUCUGGCAUCGAUGAAGAACGCAGCGAAAUGCGAUAAGUAAUGUGAAUUGCAGAAUUCAGUGAAUCAUCGAAUCUUUGAACGCAUAUUGCGCCCAUUAGUAUUCUAGUGGGCAGGACCGUUCGAGCGUCAUUUCAACCCUUAAGCCUUCGUUGCUUAGUGUUGGGAGCCUACGGCAACGUAGCUCCUCAAAGUUAGUGGCGGAGUUGGUUCACACUCUAGACGUAGUAAUUUUUUAUCUCGCCUAUUAGUUGGACUAAUCCCCUGCCGUAAAACCCCCAAUUUAUCAAGGUUGACCUCGAAUCGGUUCAGACAAACUCGCUAAAUUGAAGCAUCUUAGUCAGCGAAGGAAAAGAAACCAACAGGGAUUGCCCUAGUAACGGCGAGUGAAGCGGCAACAGCUCAAAUUU